AGUGAACGCUGGCGGUAGGCCUAACACAUGCAAGUCGAACGGCAGCACAGUAAGAGCUUGCUCUUACGGGUGGCGAGUGGCGGACGGGUGAGGAAUACAUCGGAAUCUACUUUUUCGUGGGGGAUAACGUAGGGAAACUUACGCUAAUACCGCAUACGACCUACGGGUGAAAGCAGGGGAUCUUCGGACCUUGCGCGAUUGAAUGAGCCGAUGUCGGAUUAGCUAGUUGGCGGGGUAAAGGCCCACCAAGGCGACGAUCCGUAGCUGGCCUGAGAGGAUGAUCAGCCACACUGGAACUGAGACACGGUCCAGACUCCUACGGGAGGCAGCAGUGGGGAAUAUUGGACAAUGGGCGCAAGCCUGAUCCAGCCAUACCGCGUGGGUGAAGAAGGCCUUCGGGUUGUAAAGCCCUUUUGUUGGGAAAGAAAAGCAGCAGGUUAAUACCCCGCCGUUCUGACGGUACCCAAAGAAUAAGCACCGGCUAACUUCGUG
RNAcentral lists this ribosomal RNA (492 nucleotides) under uncultured bacterium. RNAcentral's name for it is "partial 16S ribosomal RNA". It matches the Rfam family "Bacterial small subunit ribosomal RNA", at positions 29 to 507 of the family's 1533-position model. The record is from RNAcentral.